This is a long non-coding RNA of Cyclopterus lumpus (lumpfish), 1688 nucleotides long. RefSeq lists it as uncharacterized. The record is from RefSeq and is a predicted model, not a curated record. The transcript has 2 exons. NCBI's taxonomy places the organism in Eukaryota, Metazoa, Chordata, Actinopteri, Perciformes, Cyclopteridae.
GCCAACAUGUCGCCUCGUGCACUUUCAUCUCCUCCUCCUGCCGGACGAACGCCUCCAACGGCUGAAAAGCGUUCGCGUCGGAUCAGAAUCAUCUCCCCCUUUAAUUCCCCCGUCUCCGUUUCACUUGACGCAAAGUUACCCGAGCGUCUCGACAAGAGGCGGAGCUUCGUGAUUUAGAUUCCUGCUCCUCGGCCUCGGUUUGUCCCCGGGCCGUUUCUGUCUCCGCCCCGUCCAGAGAUGUGCUGCUCGUGGAGCUGAGGGAAGGAAGAGGAGGAGAAAGGGGGGGAGGAAGAGCCCAGCCAAGAGGCCCCGGGGCCGCGGCCCUCCCUGGACCCCCCAACCCCGGGUCACUGAGCACCUCGGGUCAGCCGGUCUCGCUCGGGCCUCCUCGUGGGGGAACCGCCCGGCUACCGGAUUGAGGAGGAGGAGGAGGAGGCAGCUCCCCCCGGUGUCUCGUGUAAUCAACAUUUAGAGAACAGCUGGAAGGAGGAGGAGUGUGUGUGUGUGUGUUUUCUCACGUUGGGAUACAUCUGAUCUCGUGUGUGUGUGUGUGUGUGUUCAUGUAAACGGCCUCAGUGUGUGUGUGUGUGUGUGUGUGUGUUCAUGUAAACGGCCUCAGUGUGUGUGUGUGUGUGUGUGUGGUCGGUGUGUGUUCCCUGCUGGGCCCUCAGCGCUCAGAGGGGGUUCAGCGUCGGGGUCUUCGCCCGCAAAUAAAAACUCGUCCUCCGGGUGCCAAGGAGGAGGAGGAGGAGAAACGCUGGAGACGGACGUUGAUACGCACGGUUCAUCAAAGAGUAACAAUCAUCCCUUGUUUAGCAUCUUUUGGGCCUUCUCAUAACACAUGCCUCCACGUGAGGACCAUCAGAGCCAAACGAGACCCCCAACACAUCGUGCAGCACUGGAGAAGACGAACCCUUGGAGCACCUGACAGCUGACGGUUCUCCGGUUCCUUCCCCGCACCAUAAAUGAUGAACAUUUUACCACAUUGUUUGUUUUGGAUCCGUAAAUGCCGCGUUGGCCUCGGGCGCCGGUGCUAAUGCAACAGAUCGCCUCCGUGUCGCACAACAUUCGAAUGGACCAUCUGACUAAUUACAGCGGAGAACCCGGCGGUAGAACCCCCGAACGUGGCCUUUCCGGUCGCGGAGAGACAGGAAGCCUGCCAGAAAAAAUAACCAUUUCAAUAAUUUUCUUUAAUUUCCAGCAUCUAAACAGAGCGAAAAAAUCCAAGUCGGAGAAAACAAAACGCCACGCACGCGGCCGGCGAGGCCCUCGGAGAGAGCGGCUGCCAUCUAAAAACAGCUCUCUGCAGCUGGCGGCCGCGUUGCUCAGGCGCUCGCGGCCGCGGACGCCGUUCACUCCCGGCUAAAUGUAUGGAAUCAGGCUCUCGCUAAAAACUACAAUUACAGGAUGUGGCACAGGAAGGAUUAAAACUGCACCUCCGAGGCGGAUCCGAGGUGUGAAGAGCUGACGGGGAGCUCAGUGGAGAUGAGACCGGCACAGCUGGGCCUGAUCCAGAUCCACCUGAGCUCUCUUCUAGAGUCCACCAAAAGGAGCCCGGAUCUCAAAUCUAGAACUCGUGGCUGCGACCUGGGAAAUCAUCAGAUUUGUUUUGGGGGUAAUUCUGCAGGUUUCAAAUUUGAAAUGUGUGUUUGAUUCAGGAUUUUCAAAAUAAAACAGGAUGUGACGUU